AGAGUUUGAUCCUGGCUCAGGAUGAACGCUGGCGGCGUGCUUAACACAUGCAAGUCGAACGGAGUUUUAAACGGAAGUUUCGGGUGGAAGUUUAAAACUAGUGGCGGACGGGUGAGUAACGCGUGGGUAACCUGCCUCAUACAGGGGGAUAACAGUUAGAAAUGACUGCUAACACCGCAUAAUAUAGCGAAACCGCAUGAUUUUGCUAUCAAAUAUUUAUAGGUAUGAGAUGGGCCCGCGUCUGAUUAGCUAGUUGGUGGGGUAAAAGCCUACCAAGGCGACGAUCAGUAGCCGGCUUGAGAGAGUGACCGGCCACAUUGGGACUGAGACACGGCCCAAACUCCUACGGGAGGCAGCAGUGGGGAAUAUUGGACAAUGGGGGAAACCCUGAUCCAGCCGACGCCGCGUGAGUGAAGAAGUAUUUCGGUAUGUAAAGCUCUAUCAGCAGGGAAGAUAAUGACAGUACCUGACUAAGAAGCCCCGGCUAACUACGUGCCAGCCGCCGC
Molecule: ribosomal RNA, 506 nt
Filed under: uncultured bacterium
Lineage: Bacteria
Description: bacterial SSU rRNA
Rfam family: Bacterial small subunit ribosomal RNA
Source: RNAcentral